GAUGAAGAACGCAGCGAAAUGCGAUACGUAAUGUGAAUUGCAGAAUUCAGUGAAUCAUCGAAUCUUUGAACGCAUAUUGCGCUCUCUGGUAUUCCGGAGAGCAUGCUUGUUUGAGUAUCAGUAAACACCUCAACUUCCAUAUCUUUUUUGAAAUGGGAGUUGGACUUGAGUGAUCCCAACGCUUUUCCUCACCGAAAAGUGGCGGGUUACUUGAAAUGCAGGUGCAGCUGGACUUUUCUCUGAGCUAUAAGCAUAUCUAUUUAGUCUGCCUAAAAAACAGAUUAUUACCUUUGCUGCAGCUAACAUAAAGGAGAUUAGUUCUUGUGCUGACUGAUGCAGGAUUCACAAAGACAGGCUUCGCCGACUUUGUAAACUCGAUCUCAAAUCAAGUAAGACUACCCGCUGAACUUAAGCAUAUCAAUAAGCGGAGGA
RNAcentral lists this unclassified non-coding RNA (432 nucleotides) under soil metagenome. RNAcentral describes it as "partial contains 5.8S ribosomal RNA, internal transcribed spacer 2, and large subunit ribosomal RNA". The stretch from base 1 to 120 matches the Rfam family "5.8S ribosomal RNA", at positions 35 to 154 of the family's 154-position model. The record is from RNAcentral.